AACUUAACUGUUAACAGUAGAAGCCUCAGGCAGGUCCUUCAGGAGGAAUCCAGAAGAAGGCAUUGUUAUUACAGGAGAUGACAACUCUAUGCGUGUCAUUGUCCCUGAAGACCUUCCAGUGGGACAAGAUGUGGAGGUGGAAGACAGUGAUAUUAAUGAUCCUGAACUUGGAAAAUUAGAAGUAGAAAGUUCAGCAAGAACACAGGCGAGCAUUAGAAGUCAUAAAUGAAGAGCACAGGAGCUGCUUGAUGUGGCCAGGUGAUAUGGAGGUGAUCCUGGCCUGAAUAAGGUUUGAUGCCUGAGGUGGGCUGAGAAUGACUUCAAAGGUGCCUGUUUUGGUGACAUGAUGAGAAAAUUAUUAACACCUCCAAAUUUAUGAAACUUUUUUCACAAAUGCAUGUAUCUACUUAAAAUCUAUUUUCUUCCACUUCUGCCACCCCUGGAUAGCAAGACCACCUCCUCCUCCUCAGCCUACUCAAUGUGAAGACACCCAGGAUGAAGACCUUGAUGAUGAUCCACUUCCACUUAAUGAAAGCUAAACAUUAGAAUUUCCUCAACUUGUAUGGUAUAGUUUUAAGUUUCUUCAGACUUGGAAUUCUCUUGGGGAGUGAUAUUCUUUGGAAGGCAUAUUAGGAUUGCCUGGGCAAACAGCACAGGUGCCCCUCACCUUCUGAAAUGCUCUUCUGUGUUGGUCUCUAAUAAACAUCUUGCACCUGUAACUCCACUUCAGCAUCUGCUCCCGGAGAGCCCAGCUGCAACACCAACUUUGACCCAAUACUGGCUGUGUUUCCUGGCUGCCCUACAGCAUGCUAAUCUUGCCCAACAGUCUAGACAGUCCUGCCACUUUCUUGGCAACUCAGUGUACUCUGCUGUGACACUCACCUUGAGGAUUCCCAGAGCAGAUCCCAAGAUACCGGAUAGCAAAAAGUAUUUUCAAACCAGUAGGCUUGCAAGCAUUGUUCUAAUACUGAAAGAUUCAUAGUGACCUAUAUUUAUUGGAUAUUUAUCAUGUGGCAGGCACUGUUUAAUGUGAAUUAAUCACAACUGUAUCAUCCAUACUGUUAAAGUUUUUUAGGUGAGGAAACUGAGGCAUGCUUCAGUCACCAGUUGGUGAGUUGGUGGAGCUGGGAUUUAAAUUUAGGCAUCUUCACAGCCCAUGUGUCUUACUCAAUUUUCUCUUACUCAUAUUGAGCUUAAGCUCAAGUUUCUUAUAGUUCUGGAGGCUGAGAAGUCCAAGGUCAAGGAGCCACAUCUGGUAAGAGCCUUCUUCCUGGUGGGGACUUUACAAGGUCCCAAGGCAGUGCAGGGUAUCACAUGUUAAAGGUGUGCAAACGUGCUAGCUCAGGUUUCCCAUUCUCCUCUUCUAAAGACACCAGUUCCCCUCCCAUGAUAAUCCAUUAAUCCAUUAACCCAUUAAUCCAUGAAUGGCUUAGUCCAUUUAUGAAGACAGAGCCCUGGAGAUCUAAUCACCUCUUAAAGACCUCACCUCUUGAUACUAACAUAUUGGAGAUUAAGUUUCCACAUCAGUUUUGGAGGAAAUAUUCAAACCAUAGCAGCAUAUUAACCACUAUACCAGUGGUUCCCCAGUUUUGGCCUGCACUAGAAUCACCUGGAGGGCUUAUUAAAACACAAAUUGCUGGACCUCACUCUUAGAAUUUCUAAUGUAGUAGGUCUGAGGUGGAGUCUGAAUAUUUGCAUUUCUAACAAGUUCCCAGGUGAUGCUGAUGCUGCUGUUUCAAGGACAACAUUUUGGGAACGACUGUACAUGAUACAGCCUCUCAAGUACAAUUUCAAUUGACAUUAUGUGAAAAUGCGUUAUAGUUUUCCUCAUGAUAAAUAAGAGUUUCCAAGUGCAAUAAAUUUGGAAACCACU
Long non-coding RNA from Pan troglodytes (chimpanzee), 1873 nucleotides. RefSeq lists it as uncharacterized. NCBI's taxonomy places the organism in Eukaryota, Metazoa, Chordata, Mammalia, Primates, Hominidae. The transcript has 7 exons. The record is from RefSeq and is a predicted model, not a curated record.